AGACGCAGUGAACUGAAACAUCUUAGUAGCUGCAGGAAGAGAAAGAAACAUCGAUUCCCUGAGUAGCGGCGAGCGAAAAGGGAAGAGCCCAAACCAACGAGCUUGCUUGUUGGGGUUGUAGGACUGAACUUUAGAGUUACCAAAGUGCGACGUAGUCGCAACAGUUGGGAAGCUGUGCCAUAGAGGGUGAAAGCCCCGUAGACGAAACGUCACACUCUCUGUUCAGGAUCCUGAGUACGGCGGGACACG
RNAcentral lists this ribosomal RNA (249 nucleotides) under Limosilactobacillus reuteri. RNAcentral's name for it is "Lactobacillus reuteri partial 23S ribosomal RNA". It matches the Rfam family "Bacterial large subunit ribosomal RNA", at positions 181 to 426 of the family's 2925-position model. Lineage: Bacteria; Bacillati; Bacillota; Bacilli; Lactobacillales; Lactobacillaceae. The record is from RNAcentral.